RNAcentral lists this ribosomal RNA (205 nucleotides) under Mordavella massiliensis. RNAcentral describes it as "partial 23S ribosomal RNA". It matches the Rfam family "Bacterial large subunit ribosomal RNA", at positions 211 to 420 of the family's 2925-position model. The record is from RNAcentral. Lineage: Bacteria; Bacillati; Bacillota; Clostridia; Eubacteriales; Clostridiaceae.
CGGAGGAAGAGAAAGAAACAUCGAUUCCGGAAGUAGCGGCGAGCGAAACCGGAAGAGCCCAAACCGGGAUGCGUGCAUCCCGGGGUUCGGACCGCGUAAUUGAUCUUAUGAGCCUAGCAGAAUGGUUUUGGGAAAGCCAGCCAGAGAGGGUGAAAGCCCCGUAAGCGAAAGGCGAGUGAGCAUGGCGGUAUCCAGAGUAGGUCGA